Molecule: non-coding RNA, 445 nt
Organism: Triticum urartu
Lineage: Eukaryota; Viridiplantae; Streptophyta; Magnoliopsida; Poales; Poaceae
Source: RefSeq, a predicted model, not a curated record
AAGCACAACAAUGAUGGGCAGUACGUGUGGGAGUCCCAGGCCGGUAGCUCCUUCACCGUCACUCAUGAUACGUUUGGGGAGCAGCUCGGCAGGGGUACCAAGAUGGUCCUCUACCUCAAGGACGACUAGGUUAUUUGCAUCUUGAUUAGGAGAUGAUGGUGAUCAUCUUUUGUUGCGGGGAACCUGUUAGAUAAAGUUUAUGUGAUUUGAACCUGCAAGAUACAGUUCUGUAUAAUGUUGUGUGAGAUAAAAGUUAUGUACUUGUGAACAUAGGAGAUAAGUUAUUGAUAUGUGUUGGUCUGUCUAAUGUUAUGUGAGACAAAGUUGUGUGAGAAAGUUUUCUAUACUUGUGUUAUUACUGUGGGAAAGAAGUACUGUUACUAUACUGAUUUGAGAAUAUUGGCUGUAAAUAAAAGAGGGCUUGGCCAACUAUUGGAUUGUAAAA